This 2540-nucleotide unclassified non-coding RNA is filed under the name Pocillopora damicornis (cauliflower coral). RNAcentral's name for it is "uncharacterized LOC113672010, transcript variant X2". The record is from RNAcentral. Lineage: Eukaryota; Metazoa; Cnidaria; Anthozoa; Scleractinia; Pocilloporidae.
GAAUGGCGUAGUAAUCUCGUAAUGCGAUACAUCUUCCUGCCUUACCAUGAAAAAUCAUAAUAAUAGUAUUACCGCGUGGUAUAAAGUUCCAUUACAUUAGACAAUACUUCAUCAAUCGUGUGUAUCGAAUCAAGAGGGAAAACUACUCAGCGCAGUGCGCUAAGCAAGAUUUUCCAGCGGGUCAACUUUUAAGAUAGUGUCUUCAAGAAAGAGGUGUGACAAUGGGAAGUUGCUGCUGCACUGCACCACACCACCAACCUCCUGAACAUCGGAACAAGCCACUGGUACGAAUGUGUUCAUCAGGAAAUCACUUUCCCAACUUUGCUGAUAUUGGAGAUAAAAUUGUCCUUUUUGUUGAUUUUGGCAACAAUUUUAAGCCACUCCCUCGCAGAAAUCAGGUUCAUUCUUUAGGUGGGGCUACUGCAGGAUUGCAGUGGCCUGAUCAGCGUCACCAUGGUGAGGAGAAUACACAAUAUGAGAUAAAGUUUGCAGGACUCCAAGCUUUCUUGAAAAGGAUAAAACCAAAAGAGGAAAAUUGUACAAGUUACCGCUCAGAAGUAAAACUUUUAAUGACAGAUGACAUUCUAAGAGAGCCUGGUGGGUUGGUGAAAUUUACUAUACCAUACUGUGACAGUGAGGGUCAGUAUUUGGGCGUAGUUACUGAACAAGAUCAUGAAUAUGAUGCCAGUCACAGAGUCUACAAUCAUCCAAUAUGGGAUGAAUUAAUAGUACAUAACGGGGAAAUAAGAGAUGAUAUUCAGUGUCGUACAUCAACAAGACUGGUUGAAGGGACAUAUGGUUCCAUGGCACGACGUAGAGCCAGAGAAUCUGCAGUUAUAGAGGGACCAAUGGAUCAAGAAGAUGCUGGAGCUGAAACAAGUGGUAGUUCAGAGCAUUUAAGUGCAACACAUGAACUGGACCCUCUGCUAGGGCAACCACCACGUGCCAAACGUUACUGGCCAGAUUCCUGGGAGAUGUCUUGUUGGCGGCCUUGCUGUGAUCCAAUCCUGCGUUCAGAAAACUGGUUCACAAGAUUUUUGGCUAUGUUCUUUGUGGCACCAUUGACCAAUGUAACUGGUUUAAGUCUGUACUAUCAACUGUACCUUGUUGAAAUAUUUCACCUAAGAUUUAAAACAAAGCUUGGACACUAUUUAUUCAUGCCACUGAUUGUUAUGAUGAUGCUAUGUUUCUUCGCCCAGUGGAGAUUUGAUCGUGACUGCUACACAUUAGCCAACACUGAAGUGCUUGUUUGGAAUGGAGCUGCUGUCUUUGCUUUGUUUCUUCUCUUCUGGUAUUGUUUGUGGGGUCUUAUCCAAAGAACACCUUGUAUGGGGUUUUUCAUGAUUGUGCCUUUGGCUGUCAUGUACAUUCUUGCAAACAUCACUUUUCAAAUGGCUGUGAAGAAUUCUGCACUGCAGAGCUUGAACUGUGAAACUUGUUGGAAUCAUACAAAUCACCUGUCAAACCAUGUGAAAUACUAUAAUGCAUUCAAUCUGAUGCACUGGUACUUCAAUCCUGUCUUGUGGACAUUUGUUUUGUGCCUCUGUCAAGCAAUCAGUCAUAGCUUUGAACCCAAGAUUCCACCACGUGUUAAUCAGACCAACCACUGGAUGAGUUGUGAUAUAAUAUGUAAGACUUAUGGUUUUCCCAAGACAUUAUUGAUUUUCAUGGCACAAGCUAUCUUCGGAACCAUUGAUGAGCUUCUGGCAUCACCAAGGCUUCUUCCCCUAUUGAUCCUACGAGUUUGUUUCACUCUUGGAUAUAGUCCAAAGGAAUGGAAAGUAUUGAAGAUAUUGGUUAAAAAAUCAUUACAAUAUGGGGACCCAGCAUUGGAUUACAUUGGCACAGGUGGGGCUGAUUAUCUUCCCAAAGAUUCAGUGAUACCUGAAGUCUCACUAUCUACAACUGGUACAAGUGGUAAAGCUCUGGAGAACAAUUAUAACAUUGGUUACAACAUAAGAAAACUAAAGAAAACCUUACAAGAGAUGGAGUCCACGCUUACUGACAGACAACGCAAAAUACUAACUGACCCCCGCACAAUCCGUUACUGUGCUGAUGACUGGCUAAAACACUACAUCGUGUUGAGGCACUAUGUUGCAAAAUAUGAGCUACAAGUGCAUGCAUAUGGCCCAUUUCGAUCAGGCAAAGAAAACAAGGAAGCUUUUCAUGAUGAUGUACGAAUGGAGAGAGACUUUCCCCUUGCUAAGCACAGCAGCUUUAGAAAUUUCUUGCAACAGGUUCGUUUUCACCUCUGGUUGAUGGAAGAUGAGUUCAUAACUAAAAGAGCUAUAUCUGCUUGUUGUGCUAAGGAAAUUUAGUUGAUCAUUACAGAUUGAGUCUGAUCAUACUUUGGUAUGGUACAUGGACAGUGUUUUAGUUAGUUAAACCUUUUUAACUGAUGAAUAUAGAAUUUGCCAGACUCUUGGUGACGGCUUCAGCAAGUGAGUAGUCGCUAUUUACUGUUAAGUUAAGGAAGGUGCACAUUAACAUCAGGUUUUAAUCAGGUGUGAAAAAAUACAACUGCACAACAUUUUCAAAUA